AGACAUUGUUCACGCUACCUAGCUACUAUAAUUGGCGGACUUUUUUAUCCCUAUUUAAAAUUGAACGCAGUAGGAACUUUCGAAGUGAGGGACAACAUAUGCACAUUGAAUUAUAAGAGGUGGGAUAAGUCAAUCGAUCGCGUCUUUUAAGGCAACGAAGACUCGAAGUAAAAAGUGUAAAAAAUCAGUCUUUGUAAAACCAAACAUGCUUCGCUUGCUUGUGGUGUACAUUUUUCUCCAGGCAUUCAGUAUGUUAGUGGUAUCUGGAGCAGACUUUUGCUUUGAUGGAAAUUAUGAAGGU
Molecule: non-coding RNA, 301 nt
Organism: Paramuricea clavata
Lineage: Eukaryota; Metazoa; Cnidaria; Anthozoa; Malacalcyonacea; Plexauridae
Source: the annotation of a GenBank genome assembly